CAAUUGUCUCCUGAAGAUGAU
This 21-nucleotide microRNA is filed under the name Ananas comosus (pineapple). Its description in RNAcentral is "microRNA s0207_c082". The record is from RNAcentral. Lineage: Eukaryota; Viridiplantae; Streptophyta; Magnoliopsida; Poales; Bromeliaceae.